GACGUAGGGCGCGAGCGUUGUCCGGAUUUAUUGGGCGUAAAGAGCGUUUAGGCGGCCAGGUAGGUCUGCUGUGAAAACUCGAGGCUUAACCUCGAGCUGUCGGCGGAAACCAUCUGGCUAGAGUCCGGAAGAGGAGAAUGGAAUUCCCGGUGUAGCGGUGAAAUGCGCAGAUAUCGGGAAGAACACCCGUGGCGAAGGCGGUUCUCUGGGACGGUACUGACGCUGAGACGCGAAAGCGUGGGGAGCGAACAGG
This 253-nucleotide ribosomal RNA is filed under the name uncultured bacterium. RNAcentral's name for it is "partial 16S ribosomal RNA". It matches the Rfam family "Bacterial small subunit ribosomal RNA", at positions 524 to 776 of the family's 1533-position model. The record is from RNAcentral.